RNAcentral lists this transfer RNA (72 nucleotides) under Bacteroidota bacterium. Its description in RNAcentral is "tRNA-Thr". It matches the Rfam family "tRNA". From Rfam's summary of the family: Transfer RNA (tRNA) molecules are approximately 80 nucleotides in length. Lineage: Bacteria; Pseudomonadati; Bacteroidota. RNAcentral also lists the same sequence under 2 other names. The record is from RNAcentral.
GCCGAAGUAGCUCAGGGGUAGAGCGCAUCCUUGGUAAGGAUGAGGUCACGAGUUCAAAUCUCGUUUUCGGCU